Molecule: transfer RNA, 72 nt
Filed under: Chaetomium globosum CBS 148.51
Lineage: Eukaryota; Fungi; Ascomycota; Sordariomycetes; Sordariales; Chaetomiaceae
Description: tRNA-Gln (CTG) (tRNA-Gln-CTG-4-1)
Rfam family: tRNA
About the family: Transfer RNA (tRNA) molecules are approximately 80 nucleotides in length. Their secondary structure includes four short double-helical elements and three loops (D, anti-codon, and T loops).
Source: RNAcentral
GGUUCUAUAGUGUAGCGGUUAUCACUUCGGAUUCUGAUUCCGGCGACCCCGGUUCGAGUCCGGGUAGGACCU